UACAGGGGGGGCAAGCGUUGUUCGGAAUUACUGGGCGUAAAGGGCUCGUAGGUGGCCAACUAAGUCAGACGUGAAAUCCCUCAGCUUAACUGGGGAACUGCGUCUGAUACUGGACGGCUUGAGUUUGGGAGAGGGAUGCGGAAUUCCAGGUGUAGCGGUGAAAUGCGUAGAUAUCUGGAGGAACACCGGUGGCGAAGGCGGGUCUCUGGGCAACAACUGACGCUGAGGAGCGAAAGCGUGGGGAGCGAACAGG
RNAcentral lists this ribosomal RNA (253 nucleotides) under uncultured bacterium. Its description in RNAcentral is "partial 16S ribosomal RNA". It matches the Rfam family "Bacterial small subunit ribosomal RNA", at positions 524 to 776 of the family's 1533-position model. The record is from RNAcentral.